GAUGAACGCUAGCUACAGGCUUAACACAUGCAAGUCGAGGGGCAGCAUGCUUAUAGCAAUAUAAGUGAUGGCGACCGGCGCACGGGUGAGUAACACGUAUCCAACCUGCCGAUAACUCGGGGAUAGCCUUUCGAAAGAAAGAUUAAUACCCGAUGGCAUAAUAGAACCGCAUGGUUUGAUUAUUAAAGAAUUUCGGUUAUCGAUGGGGAUGCGUUCCAUUAGGCAGUUGGUGGGGUAACGGCCCACCAAACCUUCGAUGGAUAGGGGUUCUGAGAGGAAGGUCCCCCACAUUGGAACUGAGACACGGUCCAAACUCCUACGGGAGGCAGCAGUGAGGAAUAUUGGUCAAUGGACGAGAGUCUGAACCAGCCAAGUAGCGUGAAGGAUGACUGCCCUAUGGGUUGUAAACUUCUUUUAUAUGGGAAUAAAGUGGUCCACGUGUGGAUUUUUGUAU
RNAcentral lists this ribosomal RNA (454 nucleotides) under uncultured bacterium. Its description in RNAcentral is "bacterial SSU rRNA". It matches the Rfam family "Bacterial small subunit ribosomal RNA", at positions 28 to 474 of the family's 1533-position model. The record is from RNAcentral.